UUGGCUAGCUCAGUGGAUAGAGCACCGAGCCAGGGACUCGGCGGUCGCAGGUUCGAAUCCUGCGCCAACUCCA
RNAcentral lists this transfer RNA (73 nucleotides) under Acidobacteriota bacterium. Its description in RNAcentral is "Acidobacteria bacterium tRNA-Pro". It matches the Rfam family "tRNA". From Rfam's summary of the family: Transfer RNA (tRNA) molecules are approximately 80 nucleotides in length. Their secondary structure includes four short double-helical elements and three loops (D, anti-codon, and T loops). Further hydrogen bonds mediate the characteristic L-shaped molecular structure. tRNAs have two regions of fundamental functional importance: the anti-codon, which is responsible for specific mRNA codon recognition, and the 3' end, to which the tRNAs corresponding amino acid is attached (by aminoacyl-tRNA synthetases). tRNAs cope with the degeneracy of the genetic code in two manners: having more than one tRNA (with a specific anti-codon) for a particular amino acid; and 'wobble' base-pairing, i.e. permitting non-standard base-pairing at the 3rd anti-codon position. Lineage: Bacteria; Pseudomonadati; Acidobacteriota. The record is from RNAcentral.